GCUUGCGGCGUGCUUACACAUGCAGUCGAACGAUGAAGCUGGGGCUUGCUCUGGUGGAUUAGUGGCGAACGGGUGAGUAACACGUGAGCAACCUGCCCUGGACUCUGGGAUAAGCGCUGGAAACGGCGUCUAAUACUGGAUACGAGACGUGGCCGCAUGGUCAACGUUUGGAAAGAUUUUUCGGUCUGGGAUGGGCUCGCGGCCUAUCAGCUUGUUGGUGAGGUAAUGGCUCACCAAGGCGUCGACGGGUAGCCGGCCUGAGAGGGUGACCGGCCACACUGGGACUGAGACACGGCCCAGACUCCUACGGGAGGCAGCAGUGGGGAAUAUUGCACAAUGGGCGGAAGCCUGAUGCAGCAACGCCGCGUGAGGGAUGACGGCCUUCGGGUUGUAAACCUCUUUUAGCAGGGAAGAAGCGUGAGUGACGGUACCUGCAGAAAAAGCGCCGGCUAACUACGUGCCAGCAGCCGCGGUAAUACGUAGGGCGCAAGCGUUAUCCGGAAUUAUUGGGCGUAAAGAGCUCGUAGGCGGUUUGUCGCGUCUGCUGUGAAAUCCCGAGGCUCAACCUCGGGCCUGCAGUGGGUACGGGCAGACUAGAGUGCGGUAGGGGAGAUUGGAAUUCCUGGUGUAGCGGUGGAAUGCGCAGAUAUCAGGAGGAACACCGAUGGCGAAGGCAGAUCUCUGGGCCGUAACUGACGCUGAGGAGCGAAAGGGUGGGGAGCAAACAGGCUUAGAUACCCUGGUAGUCCACCCCGUAAACGUUGGGAACUAGUUGUGGGGUCCUUUCCACGGAUUCCGUGACGCAGCUAACGCAUUAAGUUCCCCGCCUGGGGAGUACGGCCGCAAGGCUAAAACUCAAAGGAAUUGACGGGGACCCGCACAAGCGGCGGAGCAUGCGGAUUAAUUCGAUGCAACGCGAAGAACCUUACCAAGGCUUGACAUACACGAGAACGGGCCAGAAAUGGUCAACUCUUUGGACACUCGUGAACAGGU
RNAcentral lists this ribosomal RNA (993 nucleotides) under Microbacterium sp. HBUM178440. Its description in RNAcentral is "bacterial SSU rRNA". It matches the Rfam family "Bacterial small subunit ribosomal RNA", at positions 35 to 1039 of the family's 1533-position model. The record is from RNAcentral. Lineage: Bacteria; Bacillati; Actinomycetota; Actinomycetes; Micrococcales; Microbacteriaceae.